AUUUCCAAUGAGAUGGAAGGCACCUGAGUGGGAGGAAGAGUUCUGGGGCUGAUGGUAGAACAGAAAACUCUGGUCUCACUCCAUAGAGUCAGGGGUUCAAGUGAGGCUAUCUGAAGCAAUGUGUGCUGACUUGGGAAACCGUAAACUUUGUUGAAAUGGCUAAAUACUUCAAUCCUUGCUCAUGUUGUUGUCAGCUCCAAACAACCUAAAGAGGAAUGGUGUGCUCCUGUGAUUACACUCAGCAACACAUUGCAACUUUACACUAGACUUUACAAUGGUUUGCAUCCAGAAGACUGCCAACAUAACAAAAUGAAGUGCAUCAGUAUUUGAGGAAAGCAGAUUGUUAUGCUGAUGUGUGAACUCACUGGAGUCCACAAGUCUCUGUGACAAAUGAAACUUAUUUCAUGAAAUUUUACAAGAUGAAGCAUCCAGCUUCAGUUCUGACAGCAAAUGCAGUAUCUUGCCAACUCUGGCCCAUGAUGUAAGGGCAAUGCAUUGGUUACUUCUGUUUCUACCUGCAUGUC
Molecule: long non-coding RNA, 524 nt
Organism: Anas platyrhynchos (mallard)
Lineage: Eukaryota; Metazoa; Chordata; Aves; Anseriformes; Anatidae
Source: RefSeq, a predicted model, not a curated record